UACGUAGGGGGCGAGCGUUGUCCGAAGUUACUGGGCGUAAGGCGCGCGUAGGCGGCUUCUUAAGUCUGGGGUGAAAGGUUCAGUGCUCAACACGAACAGUGCCUUGGAUACUGGGAAGCUUGAGUGUGGCAGAGGAUAGUGGAAUGGCUGGUGUAGCGGUGAAAUGCGUAGAUAUCAGUCGGAACACCCAUGGCGAAGGCAGCUCGCUGGAACGUAACUGACGCUGAGACGCGAAAGCGUGGGGAGCAAACAGG
Molecule: ribosomal RNA, 254 nt
Filed under: uncultured bacterium
Lineage: Bacteria
Description: partial 16S ribosomal RNA
Rfam family: Bacterial small subunit ribosomal RNA
Source: RNAcentral